Long non-coding RNA from Trematomus bernacchii (emerald rockcod), 2129 nucleotides. RefSeq lists it as uncharacterized. The record is from RefSeq and is a predicted model, not a curated record. The transcript has 5 exons. Lineage: Eukaryota; Metazoa; Chordata; Actinopteri; Perciformes; Nototheniidae.
UGAGCUCACUCGCCACAGGACUGCACACAACUUAGGAAAGCACAUGGAAAAUAUAUAUCAAGAUGUACUUUUUUAAGAUCUGAUUGGAAUAAGACUCUUGGCUUGUUGCAACAUUUCAAACUCUGUAUAUCAAGUUCCAUUCUUCGAGCUCUAAGCACAUUUGCCCAAAAUGGAAAAGUGUUUUUCCAAACUGUUGUAAAUAAAGAGAAUCAUUUUACGAUAUUCAUCCUACUGUUAAUCCAUCCACCUUCUAGCUGUUUGCUCAUUUCCUGCAGUGCCAGCCAGGAAAGCAGAACAGCCCAGAUGGGCUUUUCUCUGCAAAUUCCUCCAGUCUUUCCCAAAGUAACUUGUGGUGACCAGAAUAUGCUUGCAUGCAGCUGUCCGGGGGGUCUUUACCAGAUCCAAGAUGGCUGCCGUACCACGGUGCAGCAGAGAGGCCAGAACCACCAGAGCAGGAGGACGAUGAGCAGGAGCAGCAGGAUGAGCAACGCUAUGGCAACAAAGGUCCCAUCAGACUAUAGAGCAGGAAAAAGAGACAGGACAUCACCAGGGUUGCACUGUGAGCCAUAAAGCCGAAACAAAGAGCUGAAGGCUAAAAGAAAAAGACGCUAAAAUGCUCUCUGAGGGGAGUGCAGCAGACUAAUGGGAAGAUUGGAUAUGCUGGACGGCUCUACAGCCAAGAUCUCGAUGCAUGACCUCUUCAGGAUCUGAAAGGGGACGUUUUUGUACAAUAAGAGGAACUCAAGUGCAGAUGUGCCGCCAACAACUUGGGAUCUCUGGAACAUCUGGCUCUAAUGGAGAAAGGGUUCUGCAGACUGAAGCAGAGCUGGACUCAAUGUGGAAUCCUGUCGGUGAAACGUGGCCGAGCUUCAGAAAGUACCAAUGGAAAAAGUUAUUUCUGAUUUAUAGUGUUAUCUCCUGCAUUUAUUUCAUUGGGUAUUUAUUUGCCACAGGGUCUGAUUUGUUAUAUAUAUAUUGUUUUUGAUAUUUCUAAUGAAUCAGGAUUCCCUGCAGGGCACUUUAUCAUUGAAGUGAAAGCAUCAGCACUUUGUAAAGUCUUCAUCACUGUGUAAAGUUUGUAUUUUCCAUCCAGGACGACAUUACUAUGACCUGGCAACUAAACAUCAACACACUGACACAUGACUGGAAAUGACCUGUUGAGGAGCGGAGUUUCACACUGGCUUCAGUUUCAUGGAAAGGGUUACCUAGCCCUCGUGUCAGCACUCACAGGGUUCUAGAGAUCUGUUCCUUUGUUAUGAGAUAUAUACAGAGUGUUAGGCCAAAUGUGCCUACCGUUUUCUGAUUGUACGUGAGGAUGUGUUGCUUUUCUUUGUUUUUUAUGGUUUUAAACUGAUUAUCUUUAAGUUUUUAACUGUUGGAAGAACAAUGGAAGACAUUUUCAUGGAGCCACCUGAGACUCUGGGAGGAUGAGACGCAUUUUUUAUUAUUUCUCUGACAUUUUAUAAACCGAAUUACUAAUCGAUUGAUCCAGAAGCCAUUUACACGAUGAUACUUGCAUCUGGUGGUUAUCAGUUAGUCUAUAUAUUUUGAGAAUGUCCCUAUCAAAUUAGCCAUAUAUAAAUAAAGCAAUCUGCAGAUCAACAAUGAGAAUAUUUGUUGCAAAUUGGAGCUGCUGGAGGUUAUGGUUGAUGCCCUAAACAUCCUUUACCACAAGAAAUCCUCAGAUCUGGAGUGUUUCACUCUUCUGCCUUUUUAUUUAACCUUUAGUAAACUUGUUAUCCGAAAGUGGACAUUUCACAAUAAACAUCCACAUGUGCCAGCUGUGUUGACAGAACUGAGCUUUGUUUUGGCACUCCAAGUCACACACAUUAUUCUUUAUGUCUGUCCCCAGCACAAAACCAGUCGUAUUUUCACUUGACUUAAAGCUGCUUGUCAUUUCAAAUCUUCUUACUAUACUACAGUAGCUCCUAUUUGUCAUGCAGGUAGCCCAUUAAUGCCUCGUGUUUGCACCUGUGUCUUCAGAACAAUCUCAGAUGAGUCAUGCACUGAUCAUUCAAAGUUUAAUAAAGUAGCACUCACUUGUCCAAAACAAAGUAGAGGUCAAACCCUCCGUAGCAGGACGAGCCGGCCUCCCUCCUGCCUUGGCUCUGCCCUGUGCUGCUGACCAC